UGGGGAAUAUUGGACAAUGGGCGCAAGCCUGAUCCAGCAAUGCCGCGUGUGUGAAGAAGGCCUGCGGGUUGUAAAGCACUUUCAGUAGAGAAGAAAAGCUUACGGUUAAUACCCGUGAGUCUUGACGUAACCUACAGAAGAGGCACCGGCUAACUCCGUGCCAGCAGCCGCGGUAAUACGGAGGGUGCGAGCGUUAAUCGGAAUUACUGGGCGUAAAGCGGGCGUAGGUGCUUUUGUAAGUCGGAUGUGAAAGCCCAGGGCUUAACCUUGGAAUUGCCUUCGAUACUGCAGAACUAGAGUAUGGUAGAGGGAAGUGGAAUUUCCGGUGUAGCGGUGAAAUGCGUAGAUAUCGGAAGGAACACCAGUGGCGAAGGCGACUUCCUGGGCCAAUACUGACACUGAGGUGCGAAAGCGUGGGGAGCAAACAGGAUUAGCUACCCCUGUAGUCC
RNAcentral lists this ribosomal RNA (449 nucleotides) under uncultured prokaryote. RNAcentral's name for it is "bacterial SSU rRNA". It matches the Rfam family "Bacterial small subunit ribosomal RNA", at positions 355 to 796 of the family's 1533-position model. The record is from RNAcentral.